UUUACUAAUUGUGUAGUUUGCUCGGACGUCACUGAUUUAACGGAAUUUAAUGGGCCUCCGACGGGCGCCCGCCGGCCCGGAAGCCGGGAAGGCGAGGCCCGCCAAAGCAACAAAGGUAGAUACACAGUGGGUGAAGAGUUGGGGGCCGAAACCCCCGGGAGCGCGAGGCCCCUCUCUCGGUAAUGAUCCUUCCGCAGGUUCACCUACGGAAA
This 212-nucleotide unclassified non-coding RNA is filed under the name uncultured fungus. Its description in RNAcentral is "sequence contains ITS1". Lineage: Eukaryota; Fungi. The record is from RNAcentral.